CGAAAGCCUGACGGAGCAACGCCGCGUGUGGGAAGAAGGCCUUUGGGCUGUCAACCACUUUUCUCAGGGAAGAAGUUCUGACGGUACCUGAGGAAUCAGCCUCGGCUAACUCCGUGCCAGCAGCCGCGGUAAUACGGAGGAGGCAAGCGUUAUUCGGAAUCAUUGGGCGUAAAGCGUUCGUAGGCGGCUGUUCAAGUCUGCUGUCAAAGACCGAGGCUCAACCUCGGGUCGGCAGUGGAAACUGGUGGGCUAGAGGGCGACAGGGGUAGAGGGAAUUCCCAGUGUAGCGGUGAGAUGCGUAGAUAUUGGGAAGAACACCGGUGGCGAAAGCGCUUUGCUGGACCGAACCUGACGCUGAGGGACGAAAGCUAGGGGAGCG
Molecule: ribosomal RNA, 379 nt
Filed under: uncultured cyanobacterium
Lineage: Bacteria; Bacillati; Cyanobacteriota
Description: bacterial SSU rRNA
Rfam family: Bacterial small subunit ribosomal RNA
Source: RNAcentral